Non-coding RNA from Triticum aestivum (bread wheat), 254 nucleotides. The record is from Rfam. Lineage: Eukaryota; Viridiplantae; Streptophyta; Magnoliopsida; Poales; Poaceae.
CUACGGACUUGAUUGUAUUGAGCCUUGGUAUGGGAACCUGCUAAGUGGUAACUUCCAACUUCAGAGAAACCCUGCAAUUAAAAAAGGGCAAUCCUGAGCCAAAUCCAUGUUUUGAGAAAACAAGGGGUUCUCGAACUAGAAUACAAAGGAAAAGGAUAGGUGCAGAGACUCAAUGGAAGCUGUUCUAACGAAUCGAGUUAAUUACGUUGUGUUGUUAGUGGAAUUCCUUCUAGUUCUAAAUUAGAGAAAGAGGG